AUGAACCAUCCAGUCAGAGAUUUCCUGAAGAAGCACAGCAAACAUAAAUCAGAGGAAAGUAAUUUCACUAUCAACAUUUUAGAAAGCCCGCAAAUAUCCUUUAAGAUUAUUAAAGAUGCAUUUGAAUGAGCUCGGCUCCGUCCUGUCCCUAAUUUUUAUCAGGCAUGCUGGCUUCAGAGCAGCUGAUGUGGUUCUUGAUUUCCCCAGGGGCUCCUGAGACGCUGCAGGCUUUCAAAUCAAGGGAGCCCUACUCCCCCAGAAUGAGAAUGAGCAAAUUUCUUUCCUGCC
RNAcentral lists this long non-coding RNA (288 nucleotides) under Felis catus (domestic cat). Its description in RNAcentral is "lncRNA (ENSFCAG00000048024.1)". The record is from RNAcentral. Lineage: Eukaryota; Metazoa; Chordata; Mammalia; Carnivora; Felidae.